GGAGGAGGCUUUAGCAGGGGUUAUGAUUUUGGAGGUGGUUAUGGUGGCUCUGGUGAGGGUUAUGGUGGAUAUGGCAGUGGCAGUGGUGCUGGUGGAUCUGGCAGUGGCUAUGGAGGUAGCUAUGACACUGGCCUCGGAGGUGGGUAUGGUGGUAGCAGUGGAGGUUCUUUCUACGGAAGUAGAGGAUAUGGUGGCGCUGGCAUGGGUAGAUACCACCCCUAUGGGAGGUAGGAAAAAAAAAGGUUAUGGAAAGAUUUUUGGGAUUAUAAAGUGCAACGGCCAAGUGAAGUUGCCGCAACUGUAGUAUUUGAGCUAGUUGCCAAUUCAGUAGCUUGUGCUCAGGUUAUUUAAGCUUGUCAAGGUGGUGCCUGGAAUUUGUCCACUCAAUGUUCAAUCAUCCUCUCUCUCC
Molecule: unclassified non-coding RNA, 409 nt
Filed under: Hevea brasiliensis (rubber tree)
Lineage: Eukaryota; Viridiplantae; Streptophyta; Magnoliopsida; Malpighiales; Euphorbiaceae
Source: RNAcentral